RNAcentral lists this long non-coding RNA (451 nucleotides) under Micromonas commoda. RNAcentral's name for it is "long non-coding RNA (MCOM_LNC000034)". Lineage: Eukaryota; Viridiplantae; Chlorophyta; Mamiellophyceae; Mamiellales; Mamiellaceae. The record is from RNAcentral.
GCCUGUGGACGGAUUGUCAUCAUAUGUUGAGUACCUCUCGACAUCCCAUCUGUCGGAUGAAAUCGGCGAUACAGUAUCCAGAGGCUCCAGGGCCUCCCUACUUGUCCCAACAAUCCUUACAGAAGAAGGAGAUGUAUUCAUCAGGUUAGUGCAUCCGUUGACUUGCCCCAAUGAAACAUCGCCUACUUUUGAAUCACACAACAUCGACAUGAUGUAAGCAGCAGCUGAUGCUACAGUGGGGUAGUCAAAGAAGAGCGUUGCAGGAAGGACGUGGCCAAAUUUUUCUCCUAUUGUGGCCCUAAGAUCAACGGCGCUGAGCGAGUCAAGACCAGUGUGCAUUAUAGGUAAAUUGGGGUCUACCUCGUCUUUGCCAAGUAGAGUAGCCAACUCCUCAUGAACCAGAGUACAGAUUUCAGCCUCAGAUGGAAAAUAUUUGGGAUUCGUAUCAUCU